ACUGCCCAUAGAGGCAUAGCAGGUAUGACUAUUCUGUCACGUGUGUGUCUGCAGGUGGCAGAGAGGAGAGAGGCUACACCUUUGCUCAGUGUUCUGACCCGUGAACACGAGUGUAACCUGACACG
This 125-nucleotide small nucleolar RNA is filed under the name Mus pahari (shrew mouse). RNAcentral describes it as "predicted gene, 25916 (MGP_PahariEiJ_G0034129.1)". It matches the Rfam family "Small nucleolar RNA SNORA17". From Rfam's summary of the family: snoRNA ACA 17 belongs to the H/ACA family of snoRNAs and is predicted to guide pseudouridylation of the 28S rRNA at positions U4659 and U4598. It shares the same host gene together with ACA43. NB This family has a high threshold value to exclude a large number of closely related sequences that do not appear to have conserved H and ACA boxes, and may be pseudogenes. Lineage: Eukaryota; Metazoa; Chordata; Mammalia; Rodentia; Muridae. The record is from RNAcentral.